RNAcentral lists this small RNA (374 nucleotides) under Pan troglodytes (chimpanzee). Its description in RNAcentral is "retained intron". Lineage: Eukaryota; Metazoa; Chordata; Mammalia; Primates; Hominidae. The record is from RNAcentral.
UCCCGAGUUCCUGGCCGUGACUGAGUACAGCGUGUCCCCAGGCGCAGACCUCAAGGGCCUUCUCCAGCGGCUGGAGACAGUAUCGGGUGAUGAAACAGGAAGACUGAAGCCCAGGCCUGGCAGGCCCACGGCCACAUUCAGGCCAACAGACCAUCCCUCCUUCCACAGAGGAGAAGCGCAUCUACCGGGUGCCUGUGUUCACAGCGCCCUUCUGCCAGGCCCUGCUGGAAGAGCUGGAGCACUUCGAGCAGUCGGACAUGCCUAAGGGGAGGCCCAACACCAUGAACAACUACGGGGUGCUGCUGCACGAGCUCGGGCUGGACGAGCCGCUGAUGACACCACUGCGGGAGCGCUUCCUGCAGCCGCUGAUGGCC